RNAcentral lists this long non-coding RNA (659 nucleotides) under Phaseolus vulgaris (common bean). RNAcentral's name for it is "long non-coding RNA (PVUL_LNC003336)". Lineage: Eukaryota; Viridiplantae; Streptophyta; Magnoliopsida; Fabales; Fabaceae. The record is from RNAcentral.
UCCACUUCAUUGCCCUACCCAUCUCCUACAAUGCCACCCAAUUAGCUCACCGUUUUUCUAUUGAAAUUUGCAGGUUGCAUGGAGUUCCAAAGUCUAUCAUCUUUGAUCGGGAUCCUCUAUUCCUCAGCCAUUUUUGGAAAGAACCGUUUCACCUAUAAGACACCAAAUUAAAAUUUAGCACAGCUUACCAUCCACAAACGGAUGGUCAAACAGAAGUUAUCAAUAGGAGUUUAGAAAUAUACCUGAUAUGUUUUACCAAUGACAAUCCGUGAACUUGGUACAAAUUUUUACAUCUAGCGGAGUUCGGGUACAAAUCAUCAUAUCACUUUGCCAUCAACACGACUCCUUUCCAGGUGCUAUAUGGACGACCUCCACCAACAAUCCCCGACUAUGUUCAAAGAAUAGCCACAUAGCCCACCCUUGACACCACGCUCCAAGAACGUACACAAAUGCUCCAUCAGUUGAAGGCCACCCUCGCGAAAAUGCAACAGCGCAUGGCACUAACAACAAAUAAGAGUCGACGCCAUCACACCUUCGACGUUGGCGAUUGGGUUCUCCUUCGUCGCCAAGCUUAUCGACAAAUGUCUCUUUUAGCAAGAGGUCAAAACAAGGUUUCCCGGAAAUUCUACGGUCCUUACCCCAUCAGCCGUCGCAUCGGC